Sapajus apella (tufted capuchin) is the source of this 455-nucleotide long non-coding RNA. RefSeq lists it as uncharacterized. Lineage: Eukaryota; Metazoa; Chordata; Mammalia; Primates; Cebidae. The record is from RefSeq and is a predicted model, not a curated record. The transcript is spliced from 2 exons.
GAGAGAGAAGGAGUCUCCCUGACUCAAAAAGAAAAAAUAAUAAUAAUAAAAAUCUUUAGAAGCUUCAUACAAGGAACAUCUUAGAGUGGAUGGUCAGUGAGUAACCGCUCUUAACAAGAGGAACAUCUUAAAGUCAAUGGUGAGAGUAAGUAACUGCUCAGAGAGAACCGGGAGACAGGGAAAGUCAAAAUAGGAUUCCUACAUGAUAUUAUUAUGAGCUGCACAUACAUGACAUUCCCGUGAGCUCUGACUUGCUCAUUAGCCAAAAUUCAUGCAGUGCAGGCCACUUUCUAUCCCCCUGAUGGUUGGCGAGAGUGGGAGGGUAACCAUAAUCCUGUUGACAGUAAUAAGUUGCAACAUCUUCAGGCUGCAGGCUGCUGAUGGUGAGAGUGAAAUCUGUCCCAGAUCCACUGCCACUGAACCGAGAUGGGACCCCUGUCUGCAAACUGGAUGCA